Molecule: transfer RNA, 70 nt
Filed under: Dipodomys ordii (Ord's kangaroo rat)
Lineage: Eukaryota; Metazoa; Chordata; Mammalia; Rodentia; Heteromyidae
Rfam family: tRNA
About the family: Transfer RNA (tRNA) molecules are approximately 80 nucleotides in length. Their secondary structure includes four short double-helical elements and three loops (D, anti-codon, and T loops).
Source: Rfam by way of RNAcentral
GGGAAUGUGGCUUAGUGGUAGAGUGCUUGCCUAGCAUGCAUGAAUCCCUGGGUUCGAUUCCUCAGUACCU